Molecule: long non-coding RNA, 878 nt
Organism: Vidua chalybeata
Lineage: Eukaryota; Metazoa; Chordata; Aves; Passeriformes; Viduidae
Exons: 2
Source: RefSeq, a predicted model, not a curated record
UUUCUCCCCCUGUUGUGUCCCCUUGUUUGUCUUGUUCUGUGUCACGGGUGUCUGGGUAUUUGGCGUGGAGCUGCUCUGCCCUGCUGCAUAGCCUGGUGUAGGUCUAGAAUGGGGCGUGUCCUGGGGCCUGGAAAUUUGUAAUGUGGGGUGUAUUUGGACUCUAGAUGGGAUCUGUAGAUUGAUGAAGGCUAUCUGGAGCUGUUAAGUUAUCCUGCAGUGCUCUGACUUUUGUCCUCACGUUCUUUCAGACGCAGCCAGAUGGAAUCCGUGGCAGAGGGCCCCGUCCCGGGUGAGGGGGGUCCCGCGAGAAGGUCAGUCACCGUUUGUCUUUGCAGGGGGAGUAUAAAUGGUGCCUCUGUAUUACAGCUAUUUUCUUUGUUGUUAUUUUUAGGAACUAAAGCCAGAUACUAGCGGUCAAGGCGGUCCGCUUCUGUUACAACGAGACCACAUCCACAAGUGGCCAAUGGACCCCGGUUUUCACUUCUGUGGGAAUUGAUAUUGUGAAUUAAAUUUUUUUUGGAAUGUGUGGGUAUUUUGUGUUGUUUUUGAUAUAUUAUUGUUUUAAAUUAUAGGUGUCAUAUUUUGAGGUAACUUCUUUGUGGUUUCAGGUUUUUUUUUGUUUGUUUAUUUUUUUGUAUGUAAUUAUUUUUCAUGGAUUUAUUUUUAAUGUCUUUUGUAAUUUGUAGUAUUGUAAUUUAAUUGUCAUUUGGGAUAAGAGUGUAUAAAUGUUAUUUUUUGUUUAUGUUAUGUGGAGGAAUUUUUGUAUUUACUGUUUGAAUUCUGUGAGGGAUAAGGUUAGAUGUGAAGAGGUAUACUUAACAAGGCAUUUAGAAAAUAGAUUUUUAGGAUUGGUGACCAAUAAACAUGGUGUGUUUGUA